This 70-nucleotide transfer RNA is filed under the name Ailuropoda melanoleuca (giant panda). It matches the Rfam family "tRNA". Rfam says of the family: Transfer RNA (tRNA) molecules are approximately 80 nucleotides in length. Their secondary structure includes four short double-helical elements and three loops (D, anti-codon, and T loops). The record is from Rfam by way of RNAcentral. Lineage: Eukaryota; Metazoa; Chordata; Mammalia; Carnivora; Ursidae.
GCCUGAUUGGCUCAGUCGGUUAAGCAUCUGCCUUAGGCUCAGGUCCUGGGAUCGAGUCCCGCAUCAGGCU